Molecule: ribosomal RNA, 319 nt
Filed under: uncultured eukaryote
Lineage: Eukaryota
Description: partial 18S ribosomal RNA
Rfam family: Eukaryotic small subunit ribosomal RNA
Source: RNAcentral
CCCUUAGAUGUUCUGGGCCGCACGCGCGCUACACUGAAUGGAUCAACGUGUUUUCCCUUCCCGAGAGGGACGGGUAACCCGCUGAACCCCAUUCGUGGUAGGGAUCGGAGCUUGCAAUUGUUCUCCGUGAACCAGGAAUUCCCAGUAAGCGCAAGUCAUAAGCUUGCGUUGAUUACGUCCCUGCCCUUUGUACACACCGCCCGUCGCUCCUACCGAUGGGGUGAUCCGGUGAAUGAUUCGGACUCUGUAGACUCGCCAUGAGUUUUGACGGAGAAAGUCUUGUGAACCUUAUCACUUGGAGGAAGGAGAAGUCGUAACA